Molecule: long non-coding RNA, 269 nt
Organism: Coffea arabica (coffee)
Lineage: Eukaryota; Viridiplantae; Streptophyta; Magnoliopsida; Gentianales; Rubiaceae
Source: RefSeq, a predicted model, not a curated record
GCUAUGCCAUGGUGACUGUACUUAUAGCAUUAGUAGCCUCCAGCGCAACUAAGGGUUGGAGUGGGCGUAGUCUAAGUCUGCUUGAUCCGCAUGCUUUUUGCCACUUUCUGAUGCAAGCUCCUUUAGCAUCCUUUACAUAGUUACAUUAGUAUAUUUUUCAGGUGUCAUGGUGCCACUAAUGCUUGUACUUGGUCCAGCAGUAUGCAAAAUGCCUGGAAUUUCUCUUUCAGGAGCUUUUGAUGUUCUUACUUAUUCGCUCAAAUUUCAGU